RNAcentral lists this ribosomal RNA (752 nucleotides) under uncultured bacterium. RNAcentral's name for it is "bacterial SSU rRNA". It matches the Rfam family "Bacterial small subunit ribosomal RNA", at positions 29 to 780 of the family's 1533-position model. The record is from RNAcentral.
AUGAACGCUGGCGGCGUGCUUAACACAUGCAAGUCGAGCGAAGCACUUUUGCGGAUUUCUUCGGAUUGAAGCAACUGUGACUGAGCGGCGGACGGGUGAGUAACGCGUGGGUAACCUGCCUCAUACAGGGGGAUAACAGUUGGAAACGACUGCUAAUACCGCAUAAGCGCACAGUACCGCAUGGUACCGUGUGAAAAACUCAGGUGGUAUGAGAUGGACCCGCGUCUGAUUAGCUAGUUGGUGGGGUAACGGCCUACCAAGGCGACGAUCAGUAGCCGACCUGAGAGGGUGACCGGCCACAUUGGGACUGAGACACGGCCCAAACUCCUACGGGAGGCAGCAGUGGGGAAUAUUGCACAAUGGGGGAAACCCUGAUGCAGCGACGCCGCGUGAGCGAUGAAGUAUUUCGGUAUGUAAAGCUCUAUCAGCAGGGAAGAAAAUGACGGUACCUGACUAAGAAGCCCCGGCUAACUACGUGCCAGCAGCCGCGGUAAUACGUAGGGGGCAAGCGUUAUCCGGAUUUACUGGGUGUAAAGGGAGCGUAGACGGCAUGGCAAGCCAGAUGUGAAAGCCCGGGGCUCAACCCCGGGACUGCAUUUGGAACUGUCAGGCUAGAGUGUCGGAGAGGUAAGCGGAAUUCCUAGUGUAGCGGUGAAAUGCGUAGAUAUUAGGAGGAACACCAGUGGCGAAGGCGGCUUACUGGACGAUGACUGACGUUGAGGCUCGAAAGCGUGGGGGAGCAAACAGGAUUA